Molecule: long non-coding RNA, 1234 nt
Filed under: Vulpes vulpes (red fox)
Lineage: Eukaryota; Metazoa; Chordata; Mammalia; Carnivora; Canidae
Description: lncRNA (ENSVVUG00000015932.1)
Source: RNAcentral
AUGACAGGCAUACAGAGAGAAGCAAAGACAUAGGCAGAGGGGAGCUCUGCGGGAGCUCCCUGCCAGGAGCCUGAUGCGGAACUCGAUCCCAGGACCUGAGCCAAAGGCAGACGCUCAACCACCGAGCCACCCAGGGGUCCCUGGAUUGACUCCAUUCUUAAGAAUGGUGUUUAUUACGUUGCGGAAUCCUGUGGGAACAUACCGCCAAUGGUGUAACAAAAUCAGAGGGAAAACUGGAUUUGAUUUCUAGAAAUCUGUGGCACUGCCGACCCCUCCCGAAGCACACUUUUCUGUAAAGCGAGAACUCCCAGCAGCAGAAGCGGAGCCUGCUCCCAGGCAGCGACCAGCGCUGUAGAGCACAGAGCAUCCCCAACCGCCGCCGCCCCGCCCACUGACAGUGUCUAUAAAUCCAUUUCCUGUCUUGUAAUUAUGUUUCAUGUAGUAAUUAGCCCCUUCAUAUCAAUGAAGCCAAAUUUCCAUGUGUAAUGGAGUGAAGCCUGAGUGUGUGAGACAAAUGGAAACGCAGCUUUGGCAGAACCUUCACCUUUGCCUCCAUCGUCAGAGUGCAGCUUCUGCACCCCUCAACCCAAUCUUCCCUUCCGGAAUCGCCUCUGUACCACCCGCCCUUCACAGCCCGGAGCCAGGUAGCAUGCACGGAGCUGGCAGCAGGGUGGGCAAGAGGCUCAGAAGACAUCCCAGGGUCCCAGGAGCCCAGAGACCCCGCUGUGGGAGAAACCUUCGCGGCAUCCCCCCACAUCAAGACAGCUGCAGCUCUCACCAAGGACAGACAUUUGAAAUAGAUGGAUAUCGCCUACGUGUAUUUAUGGGGCACAGGAUCCUUCCCACCCACCUGUGUGUGUUGUAAUCUUUUUGACAGAGGAGAGGAGGACAGUUUCAGGAACUUCAAAGUGACAGCUUCGACUUGCUAAUGGAAGGUCAGCGUUUUCAACUUACCUUUGAUCACAUUUUUAACUUAUAUAGAAGAUAUAUAUCUGUGGACCAAAGAAUAUGUGUGGGUAAAGUGGAUUGGAAAAUAUCCUAAUAGCCUCAAAUCUAAGUUACAAAAAGUAAUUUCACACAUAUCUUUCCAUUAACUAUUCACGUCAACCCUGAGAGGUAGCUAGGGCAAGCAUUUUUAUUCCCAUUUUGCAGAUGAGAAAACUGAGGCCUGGUGAGGUUAAGGUAUAUGAUUUAUGUUAUAUGUUUUGUCAAUAAAGACAAACCUCAACUCCCA